GAUGAACGCUGGCGGCGUGCCUAAUACAUGCAAGUCGAACGAAACUUCUUUAUCACCGCUUGCUUGCACUCACCGAUAAAGAGUUGAGUGGCGAACGGGUGAGUAACACGUGGGCAACCUGCCCAAAAGAGGGGGAUAACACUUGGAAACAGGUGCUAAUACCGCAUAACCAUAGUUACCGCAUGGUAACUAUGUAAAAGGUGGCUAUACUACCGCUUUUGGAUGGGCCCGGGGCGGAUUAGCUAGUUGGUAGGGUAAAGGCUUACCAAGGCAAUGAUGCGUAGCCGAAUUGAGAGGUUGAUCGGCCACACUGGGACUGAGACACGGCCCAAACUCCUACGGGAGGCAGCAGUAGGGAAUCUUGGACAAUGGGCGAAAGCCUGAUGGAGCAACGCCGCGUGGGUGAAGAAGGUCUUCGGAUCGUAAAACCCUGUUGUUCGAGAAGAAAGUGCGUGGGAGUAAAUGUUCACGUUUUGACGGUAGCUAAACGGAAAGCCACGGCUAACUACGUG
RNAcentral lists this ribosomal RNA (512 nucleotides) under uncultured bacterium. Its description in RNAcentral is "partial 16S ribosomal RNA". It matches the Rfam family "Bacterial small subunit ribosomal RNA", at positions 28 to 507 of the family's 1533-position model. The record is from RNAcentral.